GACGAACGCUGGCGGCGUGCUUAACACAUGCAAGUCGAACGGUGAAGCUCCAGCUUGCUGGAGUGGAUCAGUGGCGAACGGGUGAGUAACACGUGAGCAACCUGCCCCUGACUCUGGAAUAAGCGCUGGAAACGGCGUCUAAUACUGGAUACGAGAAGGGUCCGCAUGGGCACUUUCUGGAAAGUUUUUCGGUUGGGGAUGGGCUCGCGGCCUAUCAGCGUGUUGGUGAGGUAAUGGCUCACCAAGGCGACGACGGGUAGCCGGCCUGAGAGGGCGACCGGCCACACUGGGACUGAGGCACGGCCCAGACUCCUACGGGAGGCAGCAGUGGGGAAUAUUGCACAAUGGGCGAAAGCCUGAUGCAGCGACGCCGCGUGAGGGAUGACGGCCUUCGGGUUGUAAACCUCUUUCAGCAGGGAAGAAGCGAAAGUGACGGUACCUGCAGAAGAAGCACCGGCUAACUACGUG
RNAcentral lists this ribosomal RNA (468 nucleotides) under uncultured bacterium. RNAcentral's name for it is "partial 16S ribosomal RNA". It matches the Rfam family "Bacterial small subunit ribosomal RNA", at positions 28 to 507 of the family's 1533-position model. The record is from RNAcentral.